GAAAGGCGGGCUAAACCCGCGUACAUGCCACCGGGGCAUCCCGGAGGCAGGAAAGGCUUCGGCCGGACAGGGAUGGGCAUGCGGCGCAUUAGGCAGUAGGCGGGGUAACGGCCCACCUAACCGACGAUGCGUAGGGGUUCUGAGAGGAAGGUCCCCCACACUGGUACUGAGACACGGACCAGACUCCUACGGGAGGCAGCAGUGAGGAAUAUUGGUCAAUGGUCGGGAGACUGAACCAGCCAAGCCGCGUGAGGGAUGAAGGUACAGAGUAUCGUAAACCUCUUUUGUCAGGGAACAAAGGCGGGGACGUGUCCCCGGAUGAGUGUACCUGAAGAAAAAGCAUCGGCUAACUCCGUGCCAGCAGCCGCGGUAAUACGGAGGAUGCGAGUGUUAUCCGGAUUUAUUGGGUUUAAAGGGUGCGCAGGCGGUCUGUUAAGUCAGCGGUCAAAGCCCGGGGCUCAACCCCGGCCCGCCGUUGAAACUGGCAGUCUCGAGUUGGAGAGAAGUAUGCGGAAUGCGCGGUGUAGCGGUGAAAUGCAUAGAUAUCGCGCAGAACUCCGAUUGCGAAGGCAGCAUGCCGGCUCCACACUGACGCUGAGGCACGAAAGCGUGGGUAUCGAACAGGAUUAGAUACCCUGGUAGUCC
Molecule: ribosomal RNA, 645 nt
Filed under: uncultured bacterium
Lineage: Bacteria
Description: bacterial SSU rRNA
Rfam family: Bacterial small subunit ribosomal RNA
Source: RNAcentral